Molecule: transfer RNA, 76 nt
Filed under: Endothiovibrio diazotrophicus
Lineage: Bacteria; Pseudomonadati; Pseudomonadota; Gammaproteobacteria; Chromatiales; Thioalkalispiraceae
Also listed under: 26 other names
Description: tRNA-Ala
Rfam family: tRNA
About the family: Transfer RNA (tRNA) molecules are approximately 80 nucleotides in length.
Source: RNAcentral
GGGGCUAUAGCUCAGCUGGGAGAGCGCUACACUGGCAGUGUAGAGGUCGGCGGUUCGAUCCCGCCUAGCUCCACCA